AUGAACGCUGGCGGCGUGCCUAAUACCUGCCAGUCGAGCGAACGGACGAGAAGCUUGCUUCUCUGAUGUUAGCGGCGGACGGGUGAGUAACACGUGGAUAACCUACCUAUAAGACUGGGAUAACUUCGGGAAACCGGAGCUAAUACCGGAUAAUAUUUUGAACCGCAUGGUUCAAAAGUGAAAGACGGUCUUGCUGUCACUUAUAGAUGGAUCCGCGCUGCAUUAGCUAGUUGGUAAGGUAACGGCUUACCAAGGCAACGAUGCAUAGCCGACCUGAGAGGGUGAUCGGCCACACUGGAACUGAGACACGGUCCAGACUCCUACGGGAGGCAGCAGUAGGGAAUCUUCCACAAUGGGCGAAAGCCUGACGGAGCAACGCCGCGUGAGUGAUGAAGGUCUUCGGAUCGUAAAACUCUGUUAUUAGGGAAGAACAUAUGUGUAAGUAACUGUGCACAUCUUGACGGUACCUAAUCAGAAAGCCACGGCUAACUACGUG
Molecule: ribosomal RNA, 496 nt
Filed under: uncultured bacterium
Lineage: Bacteria
Description: partial 16S ribosomal RNA
Rfam family: Bacterial small subunit ribosomal RNA
Source: RNAcentral